UACGGAGGGGGAUAGCGUUGUUCGGAAUUACUGGGCGUAAAGCGCACGUAGGCGGCUCUGUAAGUUAGAGGUGAAAGCCCGGGGCUCAACUCCGGAAUUGCCUUUAAGACUGCAUCGCUAGAAUUGUGGAGAGGUAAGUGGAAUUCCGAGUGUAGAGGUGAAAUUCGUAGAUAUUCGGAAGAACACCAGUGGCGAAGGCGACUUACUGGACACAUAUUGACGCUGAGGUGCGAAAGCGUGGGGAGCAAACAGG
Molecule: ribosomal RNA, 253 nt
Filed under: uncultured bacterium
Lineage: Bacteria
Description: partial 16S ribosomal RNA
Rfam family: Bacterial small subunit ribosomal RNA
Source: RNAcentral